This 266-nucleotide ribosomal RNA is filed under the name uncultured bacterium. RNAcentral describes it as "partial 16S ribosomal RNA". It matches the Rfam family "Bacterial small subunit ribosomal RNA", at positions 338 to 621 of the family's 1533-position model. The record is from RNAcentral.
CCUACGGGAGGCAGCAGUGGGGGAUAUUGGACAAUGGGGGGAACCCUGAUCCAGCGACGCCGCGCGAGUGAAGAAGUAUUUCGGUAUGUAAAGCUCUAUCAGCAGGGAAGAAAAUGACGGUACCCGAGUAAGAAGCUCCGGCUAAAUACGUGCCAGCAGCCGCGGUAAUACGUAUGGAGCAAGCGUUAUCCGGAUUUACUGGGUGUAAAGGGAGCGCAGGCGGUCUGGCAAGGUUGAUGUGAAAUACCGGGGCUCAACUCCGGGAC